RNAcentral lists this ribosomal RNA (805 nucleotides) under uncultured bacterium. RNAcentral's name for it is "bacterial SSU rRNA". It matches the Rfam family "Bacterial small subunit ribosomal RNA", at positions 8 to 796 of the family's 1533-position model. The record is from RNAcentral.
AGAGUUUGAUCCUGGCUCAGGACGAACGCUGGCGGCGUGCCUAAUACAUGCAAGUUGAGCGCUGAAGGUUGGUACUUGUACCGACUGGAUGAGCAGCGAACGGGUGAGUAACGCGUGGGGAAUCUGCCUUUGAGCGGGGGACAACAUUUGGAAACGAAUGCUAAUACCGCAUAAAAACUUUAAACACAAGUUUUAAGUUUGAAAGAUGCAAUUGCAUCACUCAAAGAUGAUCCCGCGUUGUAUUAGCUAGUUGGUGAGGUAAAGGCUCACCAAGGCGAUGAUACAUAGCCGACCUGAGAGGGUGAUCGGCCACAUUGGGACUGAGACACGGCCCAAACUCCUACGGGAGGCAGCAGUAGGGAAUCUUCGGCAAUGGACGAAAGUCUGACCGAGCAACGCCGCGUGAGUGAAGAAGGUUUUCGGAUCGUAAAACUCUGUUGGUAGAGAAGAACGUUGGUGAGAGUGGAAAGCUCAUCAAGUGACGGUAACUACCCAGAAAGGGACGGCUAACUACGUGCCAGCAGCCGCGGUAAUACGUAGGUCCCGAGCGUUGUCCGGAUUUAUUGGGCGUAAAGCGAGCGCAGGUGGUUUAUUAAGUCUGGUGUAAAAGGCAGUGGCUCAACCAUUGUAUGCAUUGGAAACUGGUAGACUUGAGUGCAGGAGAGGAGAGUGGAAUUCCAUGUGUAGCGGUGAAAUGCGUAGAUAUAUGGAGGAACACCGGUGGCGAAAGCGGCUCUCUGGCCUGUAACUGACACUGAGGCUCGAAAGCGUGGGGAGCAAACAGGAUUAGAUACCCUGGUAGUCC